Molecule: long non-coding RNA, 39346 nt
Filed under: Triticum aestivum (bread wheat)
Lineage: Eukaryota; Viridiplantae; Streptophyta; Magnoliopsida; Poales; Poaceae
Description: long non-coding RNA (TAES_LNC021434)
Rfam family: MIR1120/MIR1122 microRNA precursor family (bases 12195-12309)
Source: RNAcentral
UUUUUUUUUGUUUUCUACUAUGUUACCCAACAUUACCUAUAGGUCUAUCCAACCCAUCCCUGAUAUAUUGAACCGACUCAUGACUAUGGUUUCACCACGGGAACGGGUCACCUGCAAAAUCAAGAUCGUGCAAACCUCAAUCCUCCAAAGCACCUUAGAAAUUGUCCAUCACAGCCUAGGGGCAAGCCACCCCUCCGUCCUUCUCACACAGCAACAAUAUUUCAUUAAAAUCUCAAGCCCCCAGCCAAGGCUUGUUACUAUGGUUUUGUAAGGUCCCUAAAAGGCGCCAUGUCACCUCCUUCUUGUCCAUUUUUUAAUCUCCACAGACCCUCUAAAACCCCACUCAAAACCAUCCUCCUUAUUUUUUUUUGUGCCAAUGUGGUACCUUGAGCAUCACCCGUCCUUGCAUACAUUUCCUGAAAACACAGCAAGCCGGCCACUCUGACCAUUAAUUUUCUGAAUCAAUUUCACCUCAGCCACUCCAACCCUUCCCCUAGGCAUCGGGUCCUCCUUCUUCCGGACAUCCAGGAGACCUGUAAUUGGCGAGCCAUUCCCCAAACACCGGCAAUUCAAUGCCACUAGCCUCAUUGAUUCCUGCUGGUGCGUCAAGCAAACCUUACUAGUGAGUAAUAAGAAGUACUCCAUCUGUUUACAAAUAUAAGAUGUUCUAACUUUCUUUUUGCCUGAAUCAGAUGUAUAUAGACAUAUUUUAAUGUGUUUGUUGACUCAUUUCAAUCUGUAUGUACUGGAAAUAUCCAAAAUGCCUGGUAUUUGUCGACGAAGGGAGUGGUACACACGUCAAGCGUACGUGUUAACGCCUGCUGCUGCCGCUGUUGGCAACGAAAUGCAGCUCGCCACCACACGGAUCGAUCCCGUUCCAGCGUAGUUUAAACGCGCCGGACGAUACACGGGGCGCGUGGAUUCGUGACGGUGGGAAUAGGAUCAGUUCGCACCCUCGGCCCUUCAACUAGGCGGUAUCGGCACUUCCAGCUGGCCCGCACAAAAGGCGGAGCCUCCAGCAGCUGAAAUGGUGAGGGCGUUGGAUCUCGCCGCCGCCGCCGCCGGCUCCGUGCAGCGCGCGCCCGGCGCCGUCGUGGGUCUGCUCUUCGUCCUCGUGGCCGCGGUCGCCGUCGUGGCCAUCGCGGCGUUCGGCUGCGCCGACGACGGGAGGGCCAAGCGACGCCGCCGCGAGCGCUGGGGCAGCGGCAGCGGCGCCGGCUACGGAGGUGAUGGCGCCGGCGGCGGCGGCUGCGGUGGUGGAGGCGGUCACGGGGGCGGUGGGGGCGGCGGUUGAGGAGCUGAGCGCGCCACGCGAGGGGGUGGCUCCAUCCUGUCUACCUGACCCUGACGGACGGCUCGGCUUGCUCUGCUUCUCUUUUGAAUUUCAUCGUCUCGUUGAAUGUAUCUGCGCUUCUGCAGUAUAGAUCGGUUGUAAAAUACGUACUUGUAUGCUUAUGGACGCCAUUUUGCUGUGUCAUGGUGGCUGUUUCGAUUGUUCUGACCAUGAGUACUGAGCUAUAGGCAAUCUGUAUGGAACUUUGAUCUUUUUUCUUUUUGGUGGUACUUUGAUCUUUCUUGAUCGUUGUGUUCAUCAUAACCUCUUGGGCGGUGAGUACCACUAGCUAGCACCGUAGCAGAGGCGGCGAUGGGUGCACGGCCGGAUCAGGAAUUCUUCGGUGGCGGCAUGGCCGACGGCCGGAUCAGGAAACGCGGGUGAUGCAUUUUGUCCAGCUAUAUGCAUGUUCGUGAAGAUCAUUUUGCUAUAUGUUUGUGAAGAUCAUUUUGCUGUGUCAUGGUGGCUGGUUCACUUGUUGUAAUGAGUAGUGAGGCUACCACCGAUGGAGGCAAUCUGUACUGUCAAACUGUGGUCUUUUAUCCUUUUGAUCGUUGUGUGUGUUCAUCAUCGUAGCCGCUACGGCGAGCACUGGGUGAACGGCCGGAUCGGGAAUUCGGCGGUGGCGGCAUGGGGGAUGUCCGAUCAGGAACUCGCUACUGAUGCUUUUUUGUCCAGCACCAGCAGUCUCGGUCUCUGAGAUGCCUCAGAUCCACACCAAAAAAGCGUGUGGACGUCCCUCCAGAAGAGCAACGAUCGAGGAGCGACCGGAACGCGUGGUGCUAGCGCCAAGGCACUGCCCAUGCCGUCGGUGAGACCUCGCCGGGCCGUGUGGCUGGAGGUGACCAGCCAGUCUGGGCCGCCGGUGAGAAGACGACGGAAGGAGGCCCAAACAUGGCACGCGCCGAGGCUGCCACGCGCAGCGGUACCGCGCGCUACGCGACACCGGGCCUCGGAGGCGUGCAUGGCCGACACAAAGAGAAAAGGAGAGGAGAGAUCUGGAUAUGGUACUGGUGCUACAGUAGCACCGUGGAGUGGGGCCAACUCCACCGCACGAGCCCAUCCUUUCCACGCGCGUCCGUCUGUGGUAAAACAGACGAACCAGACGGUCCAGCGCGCAGACGCAAACGGAUUUUUGUCCGUUUUCUGUCCGCUCUCGACCCAUCCCCAGUCCAAGUUUGCAUCGCUUUUUGGGUGAACGGACAUCACGCGGACCCGCGGGCCGUCUGCGCGUGUCCUCCCCUGGCCCGCCCGUCGGUGUCAUAGGGGUGCCUUUUUCUAUCCGCCCCCCUCCUUUCUCCGGCCGCACCCCCUCCACUCUUCCCUACUCUUUCCCUCGCCGCCGCCGCUGCUGCCAUUGCAGUUGUGCAGCUCGAACGCGCGCUCGCCCAGCCCCUUCCCCUCGGCGCCCCCGAGCUAUCCAACCACGGCCACCUGCUUUGCGCACCCGCCGGCCGUAUUUGGGACGGAUUCGGUUGGUCUUCAGCUCGUCCGGCUAUGGGAGGCCGUGCCGCGCCAUGGACUGGCCGGGCAUAGGGCCGGAAGGCCACAUGCAGACAGUGGCUCCACCUCUAGCCGCUUGGAUCUACACCGUCGGUGGUCCGCCGACAGAUACACGAAUGGCGGUCGGCCGGGCUCGGUGCUAGCUCAAAAGCUCGUCGGCUCACCAUUAUCACUCAUUAAGUGCGACCACUGCCCAAAGAAGGUCGUGCGCCGCGUGUCUACAACGCCGGAACAUCCCAGAUGGGUGUUCAUCAAGUGCUUAAAUGAUGGGGUAUGUGCUCUUUUUAGCUUCGGUUUGUGCUCUAGAUUUGACUAGUUGUGCUAACUUCAAAUGUUAUUGUGUAGCAUGGAUGCAAGUUUUGGUAUUGGGAAGAAGAGUACAUCGAUAUAUUGAUAGAGCGCAAUUUAGUAGAUGUUCGUGCAGUUUUAGCUAUCAUAGAGGCUGUAGAUGAGACAAAUGCACUUGUUGCUAGAUUAGAGGCUAGACACGAGACUAGAUGCGAAGAAGCAACCUCUACUUCUUUAGAUUCAAAAAAGAAAGAAGCACGCAAGAUUGAGCCUCCUCUGCAGAUCAACAACGAAUGCAUCAAGAAGGCACUAAUCCAACUUACAAGAGCAGUUAUGAAAGUUUGAUAUCUUUUAAAAUGUAUUUUUGUGGUUCUUAUUUUUUUGGGUCUUGUUUUUCUAGUCAAAAUUUGAUGAUGUAUUCUCAUGUAUCAAAAAUGAAUGAUAACAAAAAGUAAAGGGUUAGCAAAGAAAAAAGUACGCGGACAGAAUGCGGCCGGGAUGUAUCCGCGCGUUGGACGCAGGCCACCGCAUUCCAGAAACGGCCCGGACACGAUCCCAUUGCCCUAUCCAAACAUAUAUAAUCCGGGUAAAAUGCACGUCCGUUUAGGUUGCGCGAUGGAGUUGGCCUGAAUACAAUGUACACAGCAAAAGAAUGUUUGCUUGCGCAUGAUGCGAGCAUGCCGACGAUGAUUGCAUUUGCAUCCAGGGAGCACGAGGGUAACCUAAACCUGGCACCGCUUCUUUCCGAUCAAACAGUAAACACUAUCCACAUAUCGAUGAUCCUUCGGCAAAUAUGGUGUUUUGAACCUUCUAUGAAAGUUGACCCUCAUUUGAAUUUUUUUGGGGGUCUGACCAUUUUCCUACCGCCAUGGUCAGAUCCUGAAAAAAAUCAAACCAGGGUAAGAUCCAGCUUAAAUUCCAUCCAAAACAGCUUGUCUUACAUUUAUUUAGGUACGAAUGUGGGACACUUUGGUUUGUAGGAUUUUGAAAACAUAGAAAUAGAAAAAGUAUAAGGUUGGAGUGGCAUGCCCACUUAAAUCCUAUAGGAUUAGCAAUGAAUGUUUGAUGUCACAGGAAAAACAAAAAAAUAUAAAAAAAGAUUGAAGUGGAUGUUAGAUUUUUUUUAUAAAAUGUAGUAUAAAAGAUUCCAUAGAAAAAAUCCUAUGGAAUCCAAUUCUAUAAAUCAAUAAACCAACAUAAAAAAAUCUAAAUAUUUCAAUCCUUCAAAAAUCAUUAAAUUCAUUUGAAUCAAAGAAGCCCUAAGUAAGACAAGCUCUUUGGAAUGGAGGUAGUACAUUCAAGCACAUACUGCAUGCCAUUUCUCAGGAAGCUACUAUCAGUAAGCUAUAGGAUAUCUGAAGGAUCUAAAUCCUUAGAAAAUUCUUUAGAAAAUUUUUCUAUGUUGGCCUUUUGAUUCAUAGGUUUGGAUCCCAUGGAAAUUUUUCCUAUAAAUCUUUUAUACUACAUUUCAUAGAAAAUCUAACAUACACUUUAAUCUCUUUUUACAAUCUUUGCUUUCCAUGUGGCAUCAAACACUUCCUGCUAAUCCUAUAGGAUCCAACUUGGCAUGCCAUCCCAAUCCUAUGCUUUCCCUAUUCCUACAUUUUCAAAAUCCUGCGAAUCAAAGAGGCCCUAAUCAUUCAUAUUUCAUAGUUACAGAUACGAUGGCAGUAGUACGUUUUCUAGAUGUAAAAUGGUAGUAUCAUGUUUCAGCAACAAGCAUGGAGUAAACAUGAACCUUGGAAUUUAUAUCUCCUCUCUGACUAACCCUGGAGCGACCAUACCGUUCCAGGUGUACAUGCAGGGGGGCUCUAAUUUAAAGCGAUCGACCUACAAAAGAGCACAAAAGAGCAAAAGCUACAAAGAUGUCCCUGCUCUGCUUACGUUCUACAGGGCUGGCUGGCUGGCUAAAACUAUGAUGGCUCCAGCAGAAAGACAAAGCUCAAAGGAGCAGCAAACAACAAAGCCCAGCCAUCACAGACGCAAAGUGGCCAAAGCUACGAAAGGGAAAAGAAAAGUUCAGAAGAUACAACCAGAAACAAAUGCUAGCUAGCUUGCUUGUUGUUAGCACACCACAGUGGUCGUCUUCUACCCUGCGUCUGACCUGUCAGCGUCUCAUCCAUGCAUGCUGCUUCCUAUAUUUGCACCAUAUCAUCAUGCCCUACCCUACCCCCCACCUCCUCUUUUACCUCUUUGUUGUGUCGUGUGGCUUCUGAGAACUAUGUCAGUCUUGAUCUCAUCACAUCGCAUCCAUCAGGGCCAGGGCCAGGCCACCUUCAUUCUCCACCGCCCCGAAUCAUUCCAUUCCAAAGAUCGGCGUCUGAAAGGCUGCCACAUUUGGAUAGUAUCCAAAGGACCCGGCCGUCACCGAGCUUUCGUAGGGCCCACCGCUGCUGAAAGCCGCCAUGGGCGUCGACGCGCCGAACCCCAUGGACUGAUGCUGAUCAUGCUGCUGCUGCUGCCCCUCCCCCUCCUGCUCCUGCUGAUGGUCGUGUUGCUGAAGGUGCAAGUCGACGCCGUUGCUACCGUAGCAGUGAGGCGCCAUGGCGCCGCCGGGGCCGGCGUUGGCGAAGUCGAGGUUGACGCCGGAGCUGUAGAGCCCGUAGCCCAGCCCCUGCAGGUUGCCCUGCUGGUGGUGCUGGAGCGCCAGGAACGAGAGGUAGUCCUGCUGCUGCUGGUCGUACUUCAUCGGCAGCGCCGUGAACGCCAGCGAGUGCGGCGCUUCGACGGGCAAUGGAGCGGCUUCCGGGGAGCUGGACUCCAGGGCCUUGCUGCCCCGCCCCGCGCCGCCGGACAUGUUGCCGAUCGGGAGGUUGCUGCUGAUGAUGCUCUCCACGUUGUACCGGCCGAUCUCGAAGUUGGUGACGGCGUUCAGGCCCCGGAACUUGAUGGCCGCAAUGUCGUAGGCUUCCGCGGCUUCCUCCUCCGUGCCUACGUAAACAGAAUCUCACUUGUUAGAUUUUUUUAUCAAAAUAUCAGUUGCUUGAGAGCAAGUAACAUUCUUAAUAUUGUUGCAGUAAAAUCAACAUACAUUAGUCAUUGCUACAACAAAAAAAAGAACACAUACGAAACAUUUCACUUGAAAAAACAAACACAGAUGGAACAUAUGGUACAAGCACAUUGACAAAAGUAUGCAGAAGAAUGCCCAUGGAUUUCCAGCUCCUAGACAGCAAUGCAAGCUGCAUCAUUAAGACUUUUGACUAAUUAGCUGCUAGUACUGACAAGCCCAUGAGUGCAAUGAGCUUAGUUAAACCGAGUGCAAUAAUGACCGUCUCCGUAACGUACACUCCUAAUAUAAUCACCGGUCAGACGCUUUGUGGAAAGCUGGCCGCGAAAACAGUAACUAGAUUCCAAGUUCUAAAUACAGGUUGCUAGAUGCAAUGCAGGAAGAAAGUGCCCAGGCUCCCAUCUGAGCAUUACAUACAUUCCAAGCAAGCAUGCAUGGCCAUGGUUUCUUCUUUUCUCUACCCCCUACCCUCCAUGCAAAAAGCCCGAAAACCAUGAUAAAAGAUGACAAAUGGGAAUCAAAUGUGGGCAUCCAUGCCUGUAAGAUACACGUGGUCCAUGGGUGCAUCUGGUCAAACUUGAUGGUUUUUGACCUAGAUAAAAAAUAUGUCGACGAAUCUAGCUACAAGACCUGUACGAACAGACUGUAAAUUAAGAUGAACCUACGUGCACGGCAAAGAGUAUUGUAAUGUGGUUGUUAAUGGAAAGAUGCGACUAAUGCCCGCUUCGAGGGGAGGGCUAACACGUGCUCCCCUCCUACUUGAGAUUUCAUUACUCAACUAAGUUAAGACAAGAUUGUACUCUCACUUAACUCUUGGUUAAUUUAUCCACAUAACUCUCCUUUUGGGAACAAAAGAGAUAAUGUAAGCUACCAGCAAAGAUAUAUCCUGGUUUCAUAAAAAAAAAAACGCCCUGGUUUAGUAACCAGUGGGUGCAGUGUGAGAAAGUAGACGAACAUGCAUGUCUGCAUCCGACUAAGUACAGGAAAUGGAUUUUUGUACAAGGACGUAUGUACUUACUGAAUGUUCCGAGGUAUAGAUCCUUGUUGCCAGCAACACGUCCGAUCCUAGCCUGCCAUCGACCAUGCUGGUGAUGUCUAGAUGAUAGAAUGCAAAAACAAACACUUUUAGAUGACACCACAUGCAAGAGGCCAAACAUGAUCAACACAAGCAAAACAUGGAGGAGAAUAUGAACCUUGUGACACCCCUGUAUAUGGAAGCGCCACGGGAGAAUCCACUACUCUUCCUGCACAAGAUUACAAGUUUUUUCCUCAUCAAAAUUACUACUUGAAUAACAUAAAAAUGCUAUAGUAUUAAGUGAUGAAACAUGCAUCCUAUAUAGAAUGUCCACGCAUGCAUGUAAGCAUGCACACAAUGCAAGUGCAACAUCAGAAGACUAGAAGUGGUCAUUAUUAGUAGCCUAUAUGUAUGUAUGUAUGUACCUCCUAAGUGAAGCUACAAACUCCUGGCGUGUCAUGUGCUUCAUCUCCUCCACCUCCUUUUCAUAGUCGGCAACCUAAAAAAGAACACUUGCCGCAUAAAGAUACACAUCCGGCCAGCACAUCGGUAGAUAUGCCCAUGCUUUGCUGCACAUUCUUGCACAUAUCCAGGAGUUUUUGCAAUCAUGCAUUGCAAUCCAUCAAUCUAUCGUCUUACCGGGAAGUUGGUGGUGGUGCUAGACCCCCAGUACUUCAGCGCGGCGAGAUCGUACGCCCUUGCCGCCUUCUCCUCCUUAUCAUAGCCACCUGUUCCAUGCAGCACCAACACUUUAGCAUCACCCACACCGAUACACUUUUUUUAAUGCAAGAACUGGAAGGCUCUCGUUUCUUACCGAGGUAAACUGGAGAGAGAACACACCAGAAAUAACAGCCAUGAAGGAGGAACACAUCAAGUUGAUAUGUCAAGAACAUCAAGAAGCACAAGUUAAGAACAGCAAAAUGAUGAGUGCAUUUGAUCAUUAGCAGAAGUAUGUGCAUGGUAAGCAGAGAGUAGUAUCGUGUGUUCACCUUGGCGGCCCUUGCGGCUCUGGCCUUCACGCCGGCAGCUGUUGUCCCACAGAUGCGCCUCGUAUCUACCCGUCCAACGGUGCCUAAAAAUCACCCAAAAUGGACAGUAAAAUCAGAUGCGCAGGCCAAAACUUGAUCGAGCAUAGGAAAAAGAACACCUUAUUCAGAACAGCUUAUUACACCAAAUCAACAGCUUAAUUAGUUCCAUCAUUUCUUCUUUUUCUAUGAUGUGGUUAGGUUACGGGAUAAUCUGUGUGCCAUAUGUGCAUCUAGACGAAUAUCGACCAGGUAUUUGCAUGCAAGCAGUACAGACUACAGAGCUCAAGGACCCAAGCAGGGCACCAUUUUGUAUAGGUUUCUUGGGCAAAUAGCUAGAUGGAUCAAUCGAUCGACCACCGCCAUGCAUAGAGCUGGCUUACCGCGUGACGCCACGGUAGAUGGAGGUCCUCUGCCCGAAGGAGUCGACGGCCUUCUUCUGCUCCGGCGUCGGGGCCGUCAUCUUCGGGUCGGCCUGCUCCUGAGGAGCCGCCGCUGGGGAGAUAGUGGGUGCCGUGGUUCCACUAGCACCGCUCAGGAAUCCGGCGGCCAAGAACUUGAGCUCUGAGUCGUACAUCUCGGCGGUCGCUGCAGACACAACCUGGUCGCCGCGGCCGGCGUCAUUAUUAUUCCUCCCGUUGGCGCCGCCCCCGAGGAAGUCCUCGAGCUUGGGCGGCGGCCCGGCCCCGGCGAUGGCGGCCAGCUCGGCGGCCGCUCCCCGCUCCUCCUCCUCCAUCUCACCUGCGCACGCACACAUAUAUACCAAGCACAUCAGCACGGCGGCGCACCAAGAAGGAAGGUAACUGAGCAAGAGAAGGAAGGGAUCGAGGCGGAGUGGGACAGUAGUACUCACAGUGGUGAGCGAGGGAGAAGUUGAGCCACGGGUAGUGGCCAUGCGCGGCGUCCAUGUCCAUGCUCAGAACGAUGAUGAGUAGUCCUACCAGCAAACUCCUCGAUGCGAGCGAGCUAGCGAGAGAUGUUUCGCUUCUCGAGGGAAGAGGAGGAGGAAGGCUAUUGGUUUUGUGGGGCGGUGAAGAAUGGGCGGUGGACUGGACUCGGGGGGCGUUAAAAUAGAGGAAGCAGACUGGACACGGUAGGAGUGCUUCCUGCCAGCCGCGGUAUAUUUCUAUGUGGGUUCCGAGGCGGUGAGAGAUGCUUUUUACCCCCGCCCCUCCGUGCCCUUGGCCUUGGCUUUUUGCUCAAGCGUCGGGCCGGUCACCGUGGCAGCGGUUCCCGGUAGCAGAGGGGAGGCGCCGCGACGUGGUGUUUUACAGGUGGAGGCGCGGUAGGGGUGGCCGGGGAGGCGGUAUAUAUCUUGACCGCCUUCGAAGCAAAGCACGGCCAUGCAUGCCAUGCCAUGCCAUGGCGUGCCCAGCGCUGAACGGAUAGGCUCGAUCGGCCUCUUGCUGCCGCUGAGCUCUGGCUUGGCUCCUCUCUUUUCUACCGGUCCUCUUUUUUUCUUUUUUUGAGGAAAACUACCGCGGUCCUCUUUUGUUCACACAGCCGACUUUUUUCUUCUUUUAAUCGGAGAGUUCUGCGUGCCGAUCGAUCAAGUUGAUCAUGUCCAUGCCGGCCAGCUCGAUCGGCCAACAGAAGGUGACAAAUGCUCCGUGCUUCUGUGGCAGCCGUCCGUGCACGGCAGUGUACAAAUUUUCAUGCCUUUGGUCGUGUGUACGCUUGUGGAUCUGCGGCGCAUGCAUGCAGAUCAGAUAGCGUCCCGUAGCAUGCAUGCAUCAGGUCGAUGGAUGUCCGGCGGGACGAACCGUGGUACUACCGGCCGGCAGCAAGACAUCACGGUCAACGGGUCAAACGUGUCUGGGAAUAAAGCAGGUGUGCGGCGAUCGCAAAGUGGCCAAAGGGAAAAAGGCGAGCGCGGCACGGUCCUUCCUUGCUCGCAACGGACACCGGAAUUAAGGAGGUCCUGAUGAUUUCGUGUCACCGGACAUUCCAAAGCACCGGACAACAGCUAGCUCCAACUACAGUGCAUUUUCUUUUUCUUUAGCUCAAAAUAGUAGUGCACACACCCGCUCGACCUGGGCCAGUAUACAAGGUCGGAAGGUCCCAUUGUACUUAGGUCUAAUUUUAACCACAGGUUUAACAAGGAAAUACGAGUUAUGUUCACUACUAAGAGGAACCACCUCCGUUCCGAAUACCUGGAGCUGUAGGUUUUUUUAAGUCAAACUUCCAUUAUGUUUGAUCAACUUUUCAGAAAGAAAGAAAAUGCUAAAAUCCACAUCUUGGAAUAUGUGUAGUAUGAAAAUAUAUAUUAUGAUUAACCUUUUUUUGCGAGAAAAACUUAAGAUUUAUUCAUCUUCAAAGCUAACUUGGUAUUUUAUACGUUGGCACAUCUUUUCUACUAACUUGGUCAAAAUUUCUAAAAGUUUAGCUUAGGACAAACCUAAAACUUCAAAUAUUUUAAAAUGGAUGGAUUAUAUCGUUACAAACUUCAUCAUAAUGCAAGUCUAUGAUAAAUAACUCAUACUAAUUCUUAGUUAAAUCGAUGGUUAUGGUAGACCUUGUAUACUAGUCCGGAGGGAGUGGUAUAGGCAUGUAUAUAUAUAUACAAGUUGAUCAAGAGUUUCCAAUACCCGACUCAUCGCUUGUGAAAUAUAUUUCUCUUACGCUUGUGUGAAUUUCAGCGUGGGUUUAUUGAUGAAUCGGGAUUAUAAAAGAAUCUCGGACAGUUUCAAUUUCUACAUCGUUUCUUUUAUUUAUUUUAAUGUACAUACUCUUGACAAGUUAACGUCUCUACAAGUUUUAGAACUUAGUUUGGAUGGUCUAAAUUAAUAAAGCCUAAAUGGUUGAACAGGUUGAACCUAAUACGAAGGUGCCAAUAAAAAGCACCGCAAGACAAACAUCAUGUUAAACUAGGAGCACAACCUGAAUACAUGGGACUAAAGUUUGUUGAACCAAGGGAUGAGGAGAGUGCACGGCCAAAAAAUUGGAGGUUGACAAAACGUCAUAAAAAAGACCUCGCUUGCUUCAAAACAAAGUCGGACAUUAUCUUGGUGCCAUUUGUCGAAGAACACUUUGUGAUCCCAUCAUCAUGUCUUGAAGGGUAUCAAUCAAUCAAACAACAAGAAAGUUAACCAGAGAGUUCGAAUGAACAAUGCCAACUGUGGAUAGAAGGGACUCAGAGAAGAACAUUAUAGUUGAGUGAAACCACACCAAUAGAAACCCAGACACUGACUAUGAACCAACCACGUGAUGACCGGCUAACAAAGACGAAAGGCUACCAAUCCAUAGCCUAUGAAAGAGGGUUGUCCUCUUAGCACCACGGUCCCCUAGUUUGUCAAAACAGACCAAGAGUUUUCACCGAGAGCCUAAGGUGGAGGGGACAUGGUCUUAUGACGAUAGUAAGUAGCCCUCGAAAUUGUGACACAUUAUCAUCGACAUCAGUAGUAUGUAUGAUCAAUAUCGAUCUUGGUGAUGCACGAUGCCCGAGAGGUGUGUUCUGAGUGGACACUCUAGCCAAGGUAGUCGUGGAUGACACGGUCACACGAUGACACUCGACGAUCCGGUAAGCAACGGGGACACGGCAGGAGGCAGCAGGUAAGGUUGGUCGCCACGCCACCCGCGCCCCUUGGGGACGGGGCAGGGAAGCGGGGCGUUUUUUGAUGCAAUCACAAAUUUGUGCUACCAUCUGUAAUCUAUUUUUAAAUUUUUGAGCUGGAAAUCCAUGAACAUUUGCACAUAGGGUAUAGCUAGGUCUCAGUCGACUGAAAUUUGGUUAAAUCUCAGGCAAUUAUAUAACAUGCAAGAGAAGAAAAACUGAAAAGAAAAUUUGCAGGAAUAUUAAUGUAAGAUCUCACGAGACUCAGCAAGACUGUUGCACAUAUACUAGGUGCACCGGCCAUCUGGGACAGAAAUACACACAUGACACUGACCGUGACACCAUGAUUAGUAGCAUACACGACCAUAAAACAUGAUGUAGUGGUGAAGCAACAACUUUGUACUAGGCCGGAGAGCAGGAUGGGGGGCUUUAUGUCUCGCAUGGAGGAAGCAAGGAAUUAGCAUCAUCAUCAGCUACUCCCUCCGUUCGGAAUUACUUGUCGCGAAAAUGGAUGUAUCUAGAUGUAUUUUAGUUCUAGAUACAUCAAUUUUCGAGACAAGUAAUUCUGAACGGAGGGAGUACGUAGUACUACUCCUACAAGCGCCCGCCGGGAGACAUGCCAGCCGGGCCCCGCGUUUGUUAGCAAGCAGCUGUCGGUCUGUCCACCGAAAAUAUGCUGCUGGAGCGCCGCGGUUAAGCCCAUGCCGUGCAUGCCCAGCCAGACCCAUCGUGCAUGCAUGCGUCCGCCGCGGCGUUUACUUACUUUGGCUGGCGUCGUUCGGCCGUCCCGCGGGCGGCACGUCGCCGUGGGCUGCAUGCACGCGCCCACAUGGCCGGACGCCGUUGGGCUGGCUGUCGGUCGUUGGGUUCGGUCGCAUGCAAAAAGCUGUUUGUUUGCGGCCGCUCCGGUGAUGAACGUUCUUGAGCGUGUGACGAGAGAUCCGCGUGCCGUCGUAUUUUCGCGAGUUCAUACAGAAGCUUGCUUCUACGAAUGGGCUCGAUCAUUAUAAAACGAAGCCGUCGUUGAGCUCGCCAUGCAUGGACCCUUCGGCUCGGCACGUGACGCGCGGGCGGCGCGGGCGCCCGGAGCUUGCGCUGCGCCGCGGGAGAAGUCGGCAGGCAGCUGCUGCCUGCACCGAGCACCAGCACGUGAGGGACGCGUGCGCCGUGCCUUGGCUACCGCCCGCCGCUGCGUUUAACCGUCUCUGCCGCGCGUGUCCCUACAGGCGCACGUGCGGCCGGAACCGUGGCCGGCCGGCCGUGGCUUGUGCGAAUCCAACCGGCCGGAACAGGGCAGCAAAAGGAAUCUGGUCAAAACGGAGGGCUCGGGUUAGAACAAGGAAGAGAAGAGAAGAGAGUGGGCGUCACGUGGGCGUGCCCACCUAACAUAUAAAAGCUGCUAGAGUACCUGCCCAUCCAGCGCCAUCGCGGAUUCAGAUUCAUCCUGCGCGCACGUUUCACCUCGCUGGCGGCGUAACAGUAAUUUCUGUCGCCCUGGUGAAAAUCCCACCGCUCGUUUUUCUGUACGCCCCGCGAUCGGCCCGGGAGCAGUUGACAAGUGGGCCAGGCCUGCGCGGGGGCCAGCCUAGCAGCGAUACGGUGUGUGCGUCUCUGUGUCCGGGUGAAAACAGGAGCGAUCGAUGGUGGGUUGCCAGGGGCGUUCGUGGGUUGGCAGGGCGUUUUUUUACCGUCCUCGUUUGCACCCAGCGGCCGCGCCUCCGCUUCAGCCGCGACGGGCCCAUCUGUCGGUCUCGCGGGUGCGCGCCUCGGAGAGAGCAACGACCGAGCGGGCGACCUGGGCUAGCAGGCACGACAGAAAAUAAAAGGGGAAGCGGCAGCGAGAGAAAAGAGGAAAAGCAGUCAGACCUAGCCCCGGCCCCCGCAGCCGCCUCCUCUCCUGCCGCCGUCGCCGCCUCGGCCUCGGCCGGCCCUGCUCUGCCGGCGCCCGUCGGCCUUGAUCCGGCCUCGGCAGGAGGAGCUCGCCCUUGAGUAGGACUCAAUAUAAGGAGGGGAGCAGCAGCCGCGCCCCGUGCUCCAUCGGUGCCCUUCGCCCUCGAUCCGUCCUCGGCAGGAGGAGCUCGAGCCGAGGAGCGCGACCUCGAUCCGGACUCGGCAGGAGGAGGGAAGCAGUAGCCGCGCCAGCCGACGCGCCUCGCCGCAACCUCUGCGAUAUCAGGCGCCAUCUCAUUCCCCAUCUCUUCUGGUUGCAUCUCCCCCCGUGAGUUCCUUCUUCUAAUCCCCUUCCUCUCUCGAUUUGGUCUGCAGGAGAGAGAGAAGAUAAGACGGAGAGAGAAGGAGGAGAGGAGGGAGAGGAAAAGAGGUGCGGUGGCAGGGAAAUCGUCGUCGGAUGCGUCUUAUAUGUGGUGAUGAUCUCCUACUUUAUUUUCUCGAUUUGUGUUUUGUUCUUACUUUCUUUCCAACUCAGUAAUCAUGCUCUUGCUUUUCCUUUGGUCUUUGUUGUAGAUGGGUGUGUUCCCAUCAAGUCGAUGGUGGGGUUGAUGUGCCCGUCGAUUCGUGAUCCGCUGGCUGAGCUCAUAUUCUCAAUGGCGGACUGGUGUUCUAUGUUAGUCGGAGCCAUUGUAUGUGGUUGUGCAGUUGCUGAUGCACAGGAGGCGUCCGUGGUGUCAGUUCUUCAUCGUCCAUGCUUAUCUUCUAUAUGCUCUAGCAGCCAGGUGACUACAUAUUACCUUUUCUAUCAAUUCGACCACCUUCUCCUUCUUCACGAGGAUCGGCGGGUCAACAUCGAUGCCCAUGUUAGCGGCAGUGCCCGCUAUGAUUCUCAUGGCGGACUCGAUGGUUUUGCAGUUCAAGUUAGGCAACUUCUCCUGGGCGAUCGUGCGUACUUGGUCGCUGUGGCUCCUUUGAGCCUUUUUCGACGCCUGGGAAUCAGAAUUAAUAAAAUGGAGAUAAGGAACCAUGUAGUUCACUGAGCAGCUAUAAAGCCUAAGAUAAACUAAACAGAAAGUUGAGGAAUCAACCAAAUGUGUAGAAAUUUUAGUGACUAACUUAUGACUUGUUUAUUUCAGAGAAACUAAUGACUUAUCAAUCCAACAGACAGUAUGAAGUUGUGCCAAGUAAAGCCAAAAAAGAAACUGUAUGUAUAUAACGGAGUAGCGGAUGCGGUUCAAGCUGUUUUUUUGCCUGCUUAUUUUUUAUGUAGCUUUUUUGGCCUGCUUGUCAGUGAUGCAAUGCCUUAUGGAGUAACGAAAGCCUAGAAUGAGAGUUAGGGAAAAUGAAAUGGACACCAAAUUUGGUGAGGCUUAUAUACUCUGAACUUGGAGCCAAGUAGAAACCCCAGUGUUAGCUGAACAGAAAAUUUAAUGUGUUAAGUUAUGCAUAUUGCAUUGUACCCAAAUAAUUCAAAUAAGUGUUAACUCAAAGGAUUGUUUUUGUAGAGGUCCAUAUGCAAUUCAUCAGAUACAGAUAAAGGGUUAGUAUCUCCCAUGUGUGCAAAAUUGGUGUGCAGAUAGCAAUUCACAGACCACUUUCCCUGUCAGUAUGCUAACAUUUUCGUAUAUGCAUUUAUAAUUAAAAUUAUUAAUAAUAGCAUAAUGAAUCAUUAAUCAGUCCCUCUACUGUCUGCACAUGCUUAAAACUCAACCAUGGUAUCAUUAUGGAAUUUGAACAACCUAGGCCCCCACAGACACUAGCAAAUCAAUCUAGCUACUGCAUUUCCCUUUUGCCCAAUUAUCCCCAUAUAUCUUCAAUUUGGUGCAGGAACCUCAAAUUAUGUAAAAGUUGGUGCUAAUCAACCGGGUGCAUACCUGCAGCCUUGAGGAGCAGUACUGAGGCAGGAGGUGUCUUCAAGAUAAAGGUGAAGCUCUUAUCCUGCAAAGAUGCAAUGCCACACGCAUCCUUAUCCUGCAAAGAUGCAAUGCCACAUGCAUCAUGAGGACUAGCUCACAUUACCAAUACAAACAUUCUGCACACACAUUUAACAUGAUGAGGCAGGAGGUGAUUCUAAUUAUCGAGUAAAGUCAUGUAUAUAGACUGAUUAGUGUGAUGUGUUUAUGAUUUUUUCUGAGGGCACCUAAGCUGAAAAGCGGUGGGUGUGGUAGCUAAAACAAAAUUUGUGCAAUUUCGCUUCAACUUCAAACUGUUGUUGGGGAGACUGCCAUGUCAGGAACUCAUGUACUUACAAUACGUUAAGUUAAAUUAGAAAAUGCCGUCUCGUUUAAAAAAUAACAUCUCAUUUUCCCCCUUGAUUCAGUUAUGAACUCUACUGUACGUUCAGACUGAAGUAGUUAUGUGAGAGUAGAAGAGGUUUAUAGCCUCUGUUGCUGGUGGACUGACUAUUUUAUAUGGACUGAAGCUGCAACUGAGGGUAGUGCUACUCUAUGUUGGGCAGCAGUAACUUAGGUCCUGCUCUUUUGUGAAAUUGACACACGAACUAAACAUACACAUUAGAUUUUUCUCACAGUUUGUGCUCACACCAAAUCAAGCUUUUCAAACCAUUAUUACAGUGUUGUUUCUUCCUCUCUUUUAAUUUUUAGCUUGCUGUUUUUCUUGGUGACCUUCCUUGAUUUGUGCUAAUUUCUGCAAGAAAUUUUUGGAAAACAUCAAUUCUUCCGCUUUACUGAAACUUGGAUCUUUGUUAGGCAUGAGUUGAGCUGCCUUAUUUAAUAUGUUAUUCAUAGGCAUCAAUAAACUAGACGAUUUGCCAGUAGAAACAAUUAUAACUGGGACAUGCUUUCUCUUGACACUGAGCAAUGGAUAAAUAUUCUGGCUUACUUCCUUUUUGUAUUUGAACAUGAUGUAAGUGUGGAAAUAAGAAACAGAUUAUUUAGAGCUUUCUGCCCUUUUAUUUUCUUUGUGGCUAAUCUCCAACUACCCUAUGGACUGUAGUAAUCACUUUCUCUUUUUACCAUCAGCAGGAUUUAAUUGAUGGAGUCCUGCUGCUAAAGGACUGCUAAAGGACGUGAACAGGAAGUCCUAUCGCUGGAUGUUUAUUGUCCGAAUUGCAAGGAUCUGGGAAUACAUGAGUACAAACCCUAUCGAAUUCUAUAGCUCUAUUCAUUGGCACACCAGUUGAUCAAUUUUGAGGUAAUAAAGCGAAGUUGUUAUCUGGAAAAUACUUACCUACUUAAAGAAGGUCAAAAUAGAGAAAUCCUUGGCAUAAUUUUUAUGUAUACAAUAUACUAGCUUUCAUAUCUACUUUGGACACCAGAUGGCACAUCAACAUUAUGUACCUGAAGCGAUCGCUACAGAAGGAAGGUACCAAACAAGAUUAACUGUUUCUAUGCUUCUCAAAAUACUUUAGUAUAUGCCCAUAAUAUCACAGUAUGAAUUGCUGUGUGGGAAGUUUGCUUUUCCUACCAUCACGGAAUAAUAAUUCAUUUUUUAGUUUGAUAUAUUCCGCGCCCAAUUAACUAUUUGUAUUUGCCAGAGAAUGCAGAAAAAAAAUACUAACCUGCUUGUGUUCCCGAGAGAGUGUAUUUUCUCCAUACCUCAACAUUCUUGAUACAUAUGGUCAUCUCUGUUCUGGACAACACACUUGACGACCUCUCUUCAUGGCACAAAACUGAAACUGUGCCAUUAAUAUAUUUUCCUUGCAUGCUUGUCUAAAUAAAGGGUGCAAUACACAUGGCAUAGUCGCAUAGAUAUACAAAUCCCUUAUUCCUGUGAGCAAGACUGAAGCUUGCUACUUGUUAAGACCAGUCAUAAACAUUUCUGUGAUUGUAGCUGAUUCCCGUCAGUGAAACUUUGCCAUGACCAUUGUUUAUUCAAUGAAAUAGCUGAUUCCAAUCAUCCAUCAACUAGAUUUGUGAUAAUCACACCAACAAGCUUAUAUCUUACAAAUCGCCUGAUUGGUGAUUAUCCAUUUUAUAUGAUGUUUUUCAUUUGCAAGCGCUGAGUUUUUUCCCUUCAAGUUUCUCUCUCUUACUCUAUUUCUUAAAUAUAUUUCUCCUCUCACUCCAUCAUUCAGUCUGUCGGUUACUCAUGAUGAGUGAUUAUAUGCAAUCAUCCGACAAUAAUUAGUAUAUAUAAUUAGUUAUGCCAGGUUGCUACAUUUCAAUCUCCUUUUUGCCAAUAUGAAAUAUGAUGGCAUAUUAAUAUUGAGAGACAGUCUCGUCGUCCGCUGCAGCAUCACCCUUAUUUUUCGCCGCCCUAACUUUUUUGCACCCCAGGCCUAGCACGCGAUAACGGCGCCAUGAGGAUUCUCUGCCGUGAGGAGUACCCCGACCCGUAUGAUGGCCACCGGAAGGUCACACACUUCUUUGGCUCGCUCCGACUGGCUCCAUUGACGACUUCUCUAACGUAUCUUCUUGUGCAGCUUCACACCUGCUUGUGUGUCUUGCAAAAAAGCAAGCUACUUGGUACCUCUCUACUCUGCUUUAGCAGGCGUUUGCAGAGGAAGCCAAGGGGUACAUGAUACUGGUAAUUUACUAAUGACCCAUAUUGUUGGAAUAAUUUGUCGCAAAUAUUUUUGUUGGUUGUCCUUUUAUUUUAUUUAUAAUCUUGCCUCAAUCAUGUCUUCCAUUGUGCUUCUUCACUCAAAAGGCGUUCUGCAUGUGUGCACUUGCUUGAGAAUGGAAUAAUCUCAUGAAUUCUAUUGAAAACAGAACUUACUUAUUGCAGUAUGCUUAAUGUUUUGUUUUAGUAAUUAUGUCUGCUUUAGCAGCCAGGAGCAUCCCCUCCCAUUUCUGACUUUGAACCAUGUGCCCUGUUUAAACCAGCGUAGUUCGAUGACCUUAUGCAAUUAUUUGGUACAAAGAAUGUGCUGAUAAAGUAUUUUUAUUUUUACUUUACUAUGUUUAGUUCCGAGGUAUUUAUACUCCUGUCAAUCUGCUCUAAUUCGGUUCGCCGAUAUCCUGAAGGAAUUAGACCAUUCUAUAUCUUUUUUUCUGAUUUUAGUUGGAUACCUGCUUAGAUGGGUGAACUUUUAACCCAUCUUUUAUUGCUUGCAGGUGUAUUUGUUGGGUUCCUCUUGGCGUGUCGAACAAAAAUUGGCGUUCAGCACUGCUAUUUAAAGAUGGUUUGAUCAGUACUACAGAAAACCCAUAGAUUAUUGUAGGUGAGAGCAUGGUACCCUGUCUCUUCCUAUUUUGUUCCUUUCUUAUAGUAUUACUUUGAGGCAUUAUUUAUAGCAAAAGAAUCAGAUUGAACAUUUAAUAUCUUUUUUCCUUAUCAUGCUAGGCAGAGGCCCUUAGGUUUGCAUUCAGGUGCUAAUUGUUUAAUAAACAUCAUGCAUUAGUUAGAUAUAAUCCUUUAUGUUUUCCACAAACAUGAUGAUUAUCCCAGAGAUGUAUCAUUGUAAAGUACUCCCUCCGUUCUAAAAUAAAUGACCCAACUUUAUACUAAAGUUAGUACAAAGUUGAGUCAUCUAUUUUGGAAUGGAGGGAGUAAGGUUAAGGAGAUCUAAUCCUGGACAUAUCAAUGCAAGAGCACAACUUUGUAUUAGAAUGCUUACUGUGUUUUACAUGGUGGUGUUUCUAAGAAAGUAUAUUUGGUUGUGAUCUUCAAAUGGUUUGAAAUUUAGUUAAGGGAUGUCAAAGCCUGAAUGUGGCCACAUUUUGGUGGGGAAGGAGGGAUAUAGUCUUUAUAAUUUAAUCUUAGCUUUACACUUCUGUGAUUCGUUGAAGAAAUGUAUCUCUAUGUAGUUUUGGCUGUAUUGAGACUGGGAUUUAAGCUUCUUUCCUUUCCGAGACGCAUACAUAAAUCCUGUGUGCUAUAUGGGUUGGAAAAAUAGUGUUGAAAUUUAAACUCGAAUCGUAUGGGCACUCCUAGAGAAGCGGCUGUGUCCUAUCUUUGUUUGGGACUAAUUGUCAAAUGAAUAAUAUUAUUUCGUGCGUGUAAUUCCUCUUUUUUGAUUGCUCAUAACCUGUUCUUUUUUGGUUGUUUGUUUAGGUAUCUAAGAAUGAUGAUGAUUACACUCGGAGCAAGCCUUGUUGCGGCGCUGCAAGUGUUGCCCUCCUCCUCCCCAAGGGCAAGGUGAAGGAAGGUGCCUGUGUGGUUCUUCUGCAGCUCGUAGCGAGGAUUGCUGUGUCCAACCUGCACAAGAAUGCCAAGAAGUCCUUCUCGGAGACGUAAGCCAUGGCGCAUGUUUCUGCCAUGAUUUCCUUUGGUUGGAUUUCGUGGAUUUAGGUGUUGAAAAAUUAUGGGCUGUGGAUGCAGGAUUAAGGACAUGUACCUGCACUACAACGAGAGAUCUGGGCUGCUUCUUUGUGGCUUCCAAACUUGAAAUGUCUGUUUGGAAGUUAGUUUAGUUUUUUGUUGUGGAUUCACAGCUUCUCACAUGUACCAUCCUCUUAGACCUUUAGAUUUCCAAAGAAACUAAAUGAAGAUAUGGUGGUAUGGUCUCAAUGAAGCGUUCCAUGCUUUAUAUUUUCUCUAAAAUUUUCUCCUGAAGAAUCAUGUAUCUCUGUUAGAUCCGGUGAGAAAAGAGGCGGCUUCCAAGCAGAGGAUGCAGGAGUGUUGGCCACAUUUGGUCUUUGACUUGGGUGUGUAAAUAUUCUUACAAUACUUGGCUCCCUCUCGGCCUUUGCGCCAUUGGCGCAACGAGUCAUCUAGUUUUUAUAGAGGCGACUGGACUGGUAGCUCGCAAUGGAGAAAGCAUGGCAAUUCACAUCACAUUCAGACCCGCACCGCAUGGCUGAGCAGAGCAGCCAGCGGAGAUUGAUCGAUCGAUGGAUCACCGGGAGAGUUGGGAGCAGCUAGUAGACUAUGAGGGCAUCUCCACCCGCGCCCCAACAGGCCCCUCGGAUCACUUUUUCGGCGCCGGCGCCGAAAAAACGGCCAGUCGCGUCCUCAGGACGCCGAAAAUCGCCGGUUCGGACCUUUUUUCCGCCCGGCGGUCACAGGCCGAACCCGGCGCGCUGGGGAGCAGUUGGGGGCUCCGGCGCUAGGGAAAAGCACGCCUGGCCCACACCGACAGGGAAAAGUCAAGGUUUUCUUCCCCCGACUCGCCUCGCACCCCCCGCGCCCUCGGCCACCACUAGCUAUAUCCCGGCGACGGCCGCCGCCCUGCUCCGCUAGAUAGCCAUUCCCUGCCGGAAAAUAGCAGCGCUUCGCCGCUGCAGCCCCUCCCACAGCAGUUGGGCGUUUCCGGCCGCCGUUUCCGGCUGCGGAGGCGCGGUUUAACGGCCGGUACACGCCCACCGAGCGCAAGGUGUUCGGCGUUUUGCCUGUCUCGGCGAUGGACUCGGAUGAGUAGGAAGAGCUCGCCGCGCUGCUGGAGGAGGAAGCCGCGGCCGACGUCCAGGAAGAAGAGCAUCUCAUGGUGCUCGCCGCCCUCGCCCAGCUGCUGGCGAGCAAUGAAAAGCCGCGGUGAGGUGGCUCGGCGCCGGGGCGGGUGAAAGCAAAGAACCAGCAUCGUCUCCAAGGCUACUGCAUGCUCUACUCCGACUACUUCGCCGAUGCUCCACUUCAUGGCGAGAGAACAUUUCGGCGUCGUUAUCGGAUGAGCCAAAAGGUCUUUCGCAGGAUUGUGAAUUCCAUCCGGGAGUUCGACAACUACUUCAAGUGCAAGAUGGAUUGCACUGGCGCUCUUGGGUUCACCUCCAUCUAGAAGUGCAUGACAGCGAUGAGGAUGCUUGCAUAUGGAGCUCCCAGUGAUUCACUCGACGACUAUGGACGCAUGGCCGAGUCCACCAGCAUAGAGUGUUUCUACAAGUUCUGUCGGGCAGUGGUGGCAGUGUUUGGGCCACAAUACUUGAGAACACCCAAUGCGGAAGACACUGCUCGGAUCCUAGCCCAGAAUUCAGUAAGAGGAUCUCCUGGGAUGCUUGGAAGCAUCGACUGCAUGCAUUGGAAAUGGAAGAAUUGCCCAUUUGGUUGGCAGGGGAUGUACAAAGGCGCCAAAAGCGGUUGCAGUGUGGUGCUUGAGGCGGUAGCCACACAGGACCUUUGGAUUUGGCACUCCUUCUUUGUUAUGCCAGGAACUCACAAUGACAUCAACGUGCUGCAGUGCUCUCCUGUUUUUGCCAAGCUCGUUGAGGGACAUUCUCCUCCGGUGAACUUCGAGAUCAAUGGGCACCAAUACAACAAGGGGUACUAUCUAGCUGACAACAUCUAUCCGAGAUGGUCAACAUUUGUGAAGACGAUCUCAAACCCUGUGGCAGGAGGUAAGAACGCCUGGUUUGCGAAGCUUCAGGAGGCUUGCAGGAAGGAUGUCGAGCGGGCAUUUGGUGUGCUCCAAUCUCGAUUUGCUGUUGUUCGGUACCCCGCUCAGACCUGGUCCAAAGAUCAAAUGUGGAAGAUUAUGACUUGCUGUGUCAUCUUGCACAACAUGAUCAUCGAGAGCGAGCAAGAAGACCCAGUGUUUGACACUGAACCAUACUACAGGCAGGGUCCUCUAGCCGAAGUUGAUCACCAGCUACCGGCAACUUGGACUGCCUAUCUCAGUAUGCGUCAGGAGAUCCGAGACCCACAGGUGCAUCAUCAACUGCAGAAAGAUUUGAUUGAGCACCUAUGUAGGCUCAAGGGGGACGCUGUGUGAUGAAAUGCGAGUUUUUAUUUGUUGAACUAUAUAAUUUGUAUUGAAUUAUUUGUUCUUGUACUAUUUUGUUGAAGUAUUUGAUUUUUCUGUGAUGAAAUAUGUGAUAAGAAAUAAUUGUGUUGAUAAUUGAACGCCGAGACACGGCGAAACCACGCCGAAUAUGGGUCUAUUCUCGCCCAUAUGGGCCGUUUAUUCGUCAAAAUUGGGCUGCAAAGUGAGCCAAUUUCGAUGCCUGGGAUGAGCUGGGGGCGACGACUGGGCGCACAACCACCCUCAGCGCCGAAUGUAUCGCCGACUCGCCCCCGGGGAAUAUUUUUAUGUAUCGGGGGGGCCAACGGCUGGAGAUGCCCUGAUCGGCAGUGUCUUCAUGGUCUCGUUCACAUUCGUCGUCAGCAUGCAGAUCAAUAAUGUGGCAGUGAAUUACAUAUAUACUAGUACAUGUAUGACUUUCUGAAUCCGAAUUAAACAUCGCGGCGGCGGCAAAGCCAAGUGCCAAGUAGCCCCCCGUCCCCGGCAUGCAGGCAACGCGGUGACCGUAGCCGUGCCACCCUACAUGCUAACAUGCACCAACAACCCCCCGAUAGGGAGGUAUAGGUGUCCUACGCCUACGGGAUAGAUAACCACGGAUCCUCUCAUGGCCGGGAGGGCACGUCAGCUAGUGAGUCACCGCACGAGAUAGGGACGAGGGGCACUGGGGCAGGCGCAUAUGCGCACCGAUAAUGGGAGCCAUCGCCCUGACCGGAGGUUGUUGGCUAAUCAUCAGUACGCGCGCUCGAUCAGUGAGUGAUUCUAAAGGGAUAUGCACGGAAGCACACACACGUACCUACAGCUAGUCUUUACUUUGCUUCCCGUACGUACUAACCAAGCUUAAACUAAGCUCAGCUAGCUAGCGAGCGAGCUGCGUCCACGGAUCAGACCAAGGAAAGGAGAGCCCUCGACGUGGACGCAGCCUACACGUGCAUAGCACUCAUGCAUUUCCCUGCAUGUUUGCGGUUCAGGUGCAAGGUGGUAGGUUUGGUCUCCGAACCACUCCAGAAAAAUCUGGGAUCGCAUGACAAACUGCUGGUACGGUAUGCGUACGUAGGUUGAGGUGCAGAGAUGAAAUGUGCAUGUUCUACCUUUGAACUGCGGACUCAUUAGAUUGGUUUUUUGCUUACAUUGACUAGAGCAUGCACUUCUACACAAACUAACCGGCUGUUUCUCUCUCUCGGACAGAAACGGUAGUAGCGGCGCCGCGCCGACAGCACAGCCAAAGGUGGUAACGGUUUUGCUGAUGGUGGUUGACCAUGCGAUGCGAUGCGCCGUGGCGAUCAGUGUGUGCACCACGUUUCGAGCACGCACGUAGGUACAGUAUAUACCUACAGGCUCGGUCGCUGGAGGGAAAAGUCCGGGCGACAAUAAUGUGACAGGGUGAGGUCAGGGGAUCCAGCUGGAGAGGUCGCACAUGCACGCAUGCAUGCAUUUUUGGAGUGGGAGAAUGGCGACCAAGGGGUAGGAGACGAGGAUUGUUUAAGCAGGAGCACCACCUGCCGAUUCGUUUGUGUCAUGGAGCUUAGCUAGACAGGGAAGGCAGACAGAAAGGCUACGUACGUGUUGUUGGUGAGCUCUCGGUCUCAACGUAGAUGGCACAAGUAGCACCGCGCGCUUGCGAUCCAAGGUUAGCGGUUGACGGCCAGUCGGCCACUAAUCUGAGUAUAGUGGAAACAAACAAUAGUACCUCCACUGUCGACUCUAAAAGCUACCCCUCCGUCUCGUAAUGUAGGGGCUGUUUGGUUCUAGGACUAGCAUUGCCAUAUUUUGUCACACAUUUUUGUCAAGCUUGGCUAAGGCUAAGGGAAUCUUGCCACAUUUUUUUGUGUGUAUUUCAUGUGAGGCACAAGUGUGGUUUGCUUAAGGUGUGUCUUGAAUCAAACACUCAUCUAAGUUAAUCAAUUUAUCUAAUCUUAAAUGUGGUAAUUUUUGGCAAAAUUAGUCACAAACCAAACAGCCCUGUAAUGUAAAACGUUUUUUGUCAAAAAAAAAAACGUUUUACAUUAUGAGACGGAAGAAGUACGGUAUAUACCUGUGCUCCAACCCACCAGCAACACAUGUCUCAAGAAACUGGACAAAGUAUACUUUGAUCGCAGUUCACGAGUACCGGGGGAGACAACAAGGUUGCGGGCUUGCGGCAUCCAUGGCUUCAUCAAUCAUCACGUCGGUCGGUCCAUGGCAACCACCUCCGGAUAUGGCACACCAUGUGUUGAUAUGUAUUUCAAUUUGUCAAUGUAUGUAUACAAGUACUUGUUUGCUUGACGUGGAGGUGUACCAGUCAAAUCAAGGCCUCGUCCAGUUUACUAACAAAAUAUACCACUACUGGGCGGCUCUGGUCAGACUCCGUGUUAGUUUUGUGGAACCUAUGUACUCGCCUGUCUAGCCGUCAGUAGAAUCACAAUGGCGCUGUCGGCUGCUCCGCUCCGCUUGCCGUCGCGGUGUCGCCCAAUCUGAUUUUCUCAGCGCGCGUGGUAGGAGUUUCAACGUGUACAGUAUGCCUGCCUGCCCACAGUUCAGUGUUUGUGAAAGCUCUUUUUUUGUGGGGGGUGUUUCAUGACGACGAACAUAAAUGGAGCUCACGGCCUGUUUGGAGAGUAGGUGCCUCGGUUGCAGUGGUUAGUGCGACAUGGCGAACAAGUACGUACGUCCAUUUGAAAACGCAAACUUCUCUCAGGCAUUUAUGCAUCCUGCUGGAUAUAUUAGCACAUUUUAUAUAUUAAUCUAAUCCACGAGUAGAUAAUAAACAUGGCAAUCACAGUAUGCAACUCAUACUGACACUUAAGCAUUUGCAUACAGUACAUAUAGCCGAAACAUCUAUGAACACAACAUAUACAACUUGGACAUGAACGGGCAAGUAGGAGAUGAACAAAAUAUACCCUCCGGUUGGUCAGACCAGCGCAGCGGCGACAACAGCAGCCUCGGCGUCGUCCGCGGCCUUCUUCUUGGCGGCUUUGUAGGCGGACAUGGAGUAGAUGCAGGGAAAGUAGUCGAAACAGAGGACGGAGACGAGGACGGAUCGGGAGCACGCGCACCGAGACGCUGGACAACGGGGUUCCAGAGGCACCUACUCUCCCAACAGGCCAUGCACGCAGUCGUCGGGAUGGGAUCGUCGGAUGCAGCACAAGGAGAGAAACAAUAGAUGACGGCAAUAGUUGCACGAGGAGGGAGUGAGAGUGUUGGCUGCACUGGCCAACGCCUCCUUAUAUAGGCCGCCGGGUAGAUGGGCCUGGGCUUAGGCCCACGACCUAGUCCAUGAACAACCCACGGUCCAACGUCUUGGAAAGUAACACUUCUGUUAGCGACUCGUUAAUUAAUCCAAGAUUAAAAAAUAAAGUGUAUAGGUGUGAGCUCAGCUCGGUUCAUUCCUGCAACCCGUGGCGCGCAACGAGGCGGGCAGCGGAGGAGGAGCGCGUGUGUACAACUCCUCUCCCAAGCUUUCAAUGCAUGUGAUAGAGCAGCCCGUAUAAAGAGGUUCAACUCUUCUUUCAUCAGCAGUAUGGUACUAAAUUUCCCACCACUUGUCAUGCAUCUACAUGAGCCUUAGAGAUUAACGAGGAAUUAUUGUUUUAUGUGGGCCAAAGCCCAUCUAUAACUCAACAGUCCCUCACUAGAUCUCAAGGCACAUUAGUUUGUCAUCUAUUCCAAAUAGUGUUUUGAUAUAUCAGAAUUUUCGGUGGAGAUUGUUAAGUUCAACUUUCACCUACAAUAAUAGGAUUAGACUUCUUCACAACUGAAUAAUUGACUAUGCAUUAAAUUAUCAGUUUAGCGUGCAGAAGUUUCGCCUAUAGUCGGUUAGUACAUGGCUGUCAAAAGAUAAACCCCACGGGUGGAGCUUAUUAGUCAUACUCUUGAGUUGUUGAUGAGCUUCCUGAAUAUUACCCUACCUUAUAGACUAUGACCAGCAAUCGGGCUCACAUAGAUGUGUUUCUUCAAAGAAUGCUCCGUACGAUAGCAUCUUGUUUACACAAGCUUUGAAAUACAUUUAGACAAAAGUCACCCCGACUUACAGAUUAUGAGAGUAUUGCAUCUCAAAUAGAGUGGGUUAGUAAGGAUCAGUUGAACGCUGGAUUGUUUUCCCAUGUCUUAAUUAAUGGGAUCACCGAUAAUGGGAUCCAUUGCUCGGAGGUAGUUGGCGGACAACGCUACACCUACGAACAAUUUUCAUUGAAGUCAAGUUACAGGAUGAGAUGUCAAGAUGUGACAGGAAAUCAAAGGAAGAGGGUGUCACUACAGAAAAUCAAGCGGGACAUGAUUUACAGGUUAAUGAGUCUGUAGGCAAAAUCCGUAGGAGCCAUCUGUAAGUCUAGCAUUUUUGGGUUGUUGGCUAAUUAUCAGCACGCGCGCGAGUGAUUCUAAGGGCAUCUCCAACGCGGAUUCUCAAAACCCCCGGGCACGUUCUGACCUUGAGGUCCAGACAUAUUGUGUCAUCCAACACAGUCUUGUAUCAGUCUGUUCGGCGGCUCAAAUACACAUUUUAUCGCAAACAAAAACCGAAGACAAAAGUGUGUGUGNNNNNNNNNNNNNNNNNNNNNNNNNNNNNNNNNNNNNNNNNNNNNNNNNNNNNNNNNNNNNNNNNNNNNNNNNNNNNNNNNNNNNNNNNNNNNNNNNNNNNNNNNNNNNNNNNNNNNNNNNNNNNNNNNNNNNNNNNNNNNNNNNNNNNNNNNNNNNNNNNNNNNNNNNNNNNNNNNNNNNNNNNNNNNNNNNNNNNNNNNNNNNNNNNNNNNNNNNNNNNNNNNNNNNNNNNNNNNNNNNNNNNNNNNNNNNNNNNNNNNNNNNNNNNNNNNNNNNNNNNNNNCCCAACCAAAACCCUCCUCCUCGCCCGCGUGCAUUCCCACCCGACACCAGCUGCCCGCAUUCAUGCCGCUAUAGAGCGGCUACUAUGCAAUGACGCCGGCCUAGAGCGAAUGCGACCUCUCACUGGCGUCGACAUUGAUGCAUCAUGCCGACUGAGAGAGCCGUCUGCGUCGCGUCCCCGUUGUCUGCAUCUGUUCAAUGUCACGGCAACGUUUGUUGUAUGGGAUAUCUACCAUGCCCGUUCAAUGCCAGUUUGUCCGAAUACCAUCAUUAAGUAGGCUCGCCAAUCGAGGAAUCAACUCCGGCGCCGCGCAUUGACGCAUCUGGACGCUUGACCUCAUCGGAAUCCGCUAUUUGAAGGCGACCACACCUCGCUAACUCCACAACAUCAGACAUCCUCCUCCUUUGCUCCACAUCCGCCAUAACCGUGAGAAGGAACACUCUGUGUGAUAGUCUGUCGUCGGAGAUGAAGCAUGAGGUGGUUGCCCUUGUAGUUGCCUGCCAGUCCCGCUGUGCCAGGCGGAUCGAGCAGGGCAUGCUGGCCAGCUUGCCCGAGGUCUCCGAUGAUGACCCUACGGGAUCCGACGACGACACGGUGCCAGACCCCACGACGAUGCAUGUCGCCCUGACCAUCACUACUAGGGAAAACGUUAUACACAGAAUCUUAGCAGCAACGAGGUUUAAAAACAAACUCUACUGCUAAUUAGCAGUAGCGAGCUUCAGAAGACCGCGCUACUAAUAGCCCAGUAGCAGUAGCGCUCUAGGUGAAACGAGCGCUAUUACUACAAUUGCCACGGUGUUGCCUUCAUGUUAGAUAUAGUAGUAGCGCCCUUCCCCUUGAUGCGCUACUGCUAAAGUACUUAGUAGCAGUGUUUUUCUUUAAAACUCGCUGCUGCUAAGUAUCAUCCCAUCUUGCAACUAAUUAAGUUUAGUCCCAUACUGCUAAGCGCACAAGGUGUUUACCACCUUAAAUAUGUUACUUCUCAAACUAUCUCGAGCACUUGGUCUUCAUUGAACUGUAUGUGUAGGAUUUGUGGCUGUAAUAUGAAUCUUCACCUGUGCCUAUACAGGUACGGUGAGGAUUCAUGUUGACUAUUUAGAUUCUACACAAAAAGAUCAAUGCUGACCAAUGUAUAUUUUCGAUGUUUUUACAUGCUUAGCCUUAGCAGUAGCGCGCUCCCUGUACCCACGCUACUGCUACAACAAAACAANNNNNNNNNNNNNNNNNNNNNNNNNNNNNNNNNNNNNNNNNNNNNNNNNNNNNNNNNNNNNNNNNNNNNNNNNNNNNNNNNNNNNNNNNNNNNNNNNNNNNNNNNNNNNNNNNNNNNNNNNNNNNNNNNNNNNNNNNNNNNNNNNNNNNNNNNNNNNNNNNNNNNNNNNNNNNNNNNNNNNNNNNNNNNNNNNNNNNNNNNNNNNNNNNNNNNNNNNNNNNNNNNNNNNNNNNNNNNNNNNNNNNNNNNNNNNNNNNNNNNNNNNNNNNNNNNNNNNNNNNNNNNNNNNNNNNNNNNNNNNNNNNNNNNNNNNNNNNNNNNNNNNNNNNNNNNNNNNNNNNNNNNNNNNNNNNNNNNNNNNNNNNNNNNNNNNNNNNNNNNNNNNNNNNNNNNNNNNNNNNNNNNNNNNNNNNNNNNNNNNNNNNNNNNNNNNNNNNNNNNNNNNNNNNNNNNNNNNNNNNNNNNNNNNNNNNNNNNNNNNNUGCUCCUCCCCCCUCUCGCCGCCCCUAUGCUAGCUGCUCCUCCACCCUCUCGCCGCCCACUCUGUCGCCGCCCGCGAGCUCUGGCCAGGCGACUUUGACCGACUGCCCUCGAUCCCCUCGCCGACCGCUGUCGUUGCCCCUCUCAUAGGAAAGUCGCCAACCUUCCCUCAUUAGCACCCCCGACCGAGGUCACCAUGCCAUCCCCCCUUCUCGUCAGCAGCCCCCGAGGGUUGCCCUAUACCUAGAUGUAGCAAGGGCUUACGAAUUUCAUAUGGAUAAGUAGAUGCUUUCGUUUUUCUAUAAUAAGUUAUUUUUUGCAAAAUGUAGGUGCCAAUUUAGUUGAAAUGCUUUGGUAGGUGGUACAAGUAUUUAGUUUGCAAGUGCUAAGUUAAUCCCAAUUAAAUUUGCAACUUGUUUUUUUAAUCAGAUAUCUUAGGCAAUAGGGGCCAAAUUAGAUGAAAUGUGUCUUGGUAGGUGGUACCUUGAUUUGGUAGAUAACUUAUUACAGAUCUUAGGAUUAUACCUUUGGUAGGGGCCAAAUAGUUUUUUUGGCAAUAGGUGCCCCUGAAAUUGCUUCUCGCGGAAGAAUCUCUUCAUCUAGAGAUAUUCUAGAAGGUGUUAGUAAGCUAAUUGAGAACUUGUUGUCUGUGAGUCUUGUUGGCUAAUUUGGCAUUGGCCUGCUAGCUGUUGGUUCUAUUAUAGAAGGUGUUAGUAAAUUAAUUGAGAGCUUGUUGUUUACUUUUUGGGAUCGGGUUCCACUAUGAAAAUAUAACUAAAGAAGAACCAAAAAUAUCACAUGCUACUGUUUUUCUUUCCUGUGAAAUGGAUCGUUAAUCCUUUGCUCAUAUUGCUUUAGGAAAAUGGCGCCACCACCACCACCAUGUCGACUGUGCCACUACUAGGAAAAGGCCUACUAGUGGCACACAUGUUUUCGCUACUAAUGGCGCACUACAGGUGCGUCACUAGUACCACGCCAUUAGUAUUUGAUAUACUAAUGGCGCACCACGCAGUGCGCCAUUAGUAUAGCCCAUGGUGCGCCAUUAGUAUGCCUCCCAGGGGGCCAUAUUUACCCAUGUGCUUUGGCAUACUAAUGGCGCACUGGUGGAUGAUGCGCCAUUAGUGUGCUCUGGCUUACUAAUGGCGCACUAUGUGGUGGUGCGCCACUAGUAUGAAUAUUAGGCAUUAUUUUUUUCUUUUCUGAUAUUUUCACAGGUUACAAAAUAUAUUAUUGGACAGAAUUUAGACAACACUACACAGCAACAGCAGAUUCAUCGAAUACAAUAGAAGAUUAGUCUCCAAAUACAAUUCAUCAUAUUAGUCUCCGAAUUCAAAAGACCGAACAAAGAUAGAACAUUACAAGUCUCGAGACCGCAAGUAGCGAGUUUGUCGGAAGUAAUACUAAUCCUAACAAGUCCUACUAAUCAUCAUCAUACAACUUCUACUCGUUAUUAAUAAUAAGUCAUACGAUCAUCAUCUUGAUAGUCAUCGAACCAACCCUACUUAAUUCUUCUUAGCACAUGAUCAUCAGUAUUAGGCAGGACCUAAAUACCCUAUUUAAGGUAAAAUAGUAUAAAACAAUAUAGACCCUGACUCUCCAUUAUGUAGAAUGGAGAUCAUCCUGUCUCCAAUUCUUGCGCUUCGCUUCCUUUUGCUUCCAAGAACCUCCUUACAACCGUCCAUACAUUUUUUCCAUCCUUUGAUUUUCAUGUCUCCACUUCUUUUAGAAAUCUCGUAUGGACAGUUGAGAUUCGUAGGAUGACCUGGCUAUAUGUUCAAAACAUUAAGACUACCUUUCUGAUACAUCAAAUGAGGCACACAAUUCUCUGGGAUUAUCUAUUGAAAAACAUAGUAAUAACUUCAUAGUUAGCAAUGAUGUACUAGUUUUAGAAGUAUGCAAAAGAUGCACGGAUGUCGUAGUAGUAAAAAAUCUUACCAGGGUAUCUCCAUGGUAGUUAUCGUAGUUGAACACAUGCACUAGUGGCAUGUAUUGACCAUAAUGUUGAGGAGUUUGAUUGUAGAUAUUGUAAUUCUCAAUGUCAGUACAAAAUCCGACCAGAUGAUUUUUCUCCUUGUAAUUAAGCUGUUAAUUCGAAGCCAUCGGUGUAGUGGGUUUUGUCUACCAUCUCCCGCACAUUCUUUGAACAAUAAAAAUAAGCUGUCAAUGGAAAUAAGCUGUCAACUAUUUUGAAAUAAAUAAUAUAAAUUAGCUAAUAACUAUGUUUGAGAAACUAACAUAGCGCUAGAAUUGGAGGCGUAUCAACAAGGACCCAAAUGUCCAUAUUGUCUUGCUCGAUUUUAGGAUCACCAAGAUCCAUGGUGACAAGCAUACCCUCAUCAAAACCAUACAUCUUGCAAAAUGCUUCCCAAUUUUUGCAACCAAAAUGGGUUACGCUCCCAGAAUUAUACAGAUUUACUUCAAAAUCCACAUCGUGAUGAGUCCUUAGGUGAAUUUUCUUUGUUUUAGAAAUUUCAUGGUCUUCAAAAUCCAUCCUCUCCAAGACAUAGCGUCUUGCAUGGCAUGGGAUAAGCUAUACUCGAAUUGUAAAAGAUGAAAAUUACACGUUGAAAUAGUUGAAGUCAUGCUUAAUUAUGAAAAUAACACUUGUCGUCGUUGCGUACCGUUUCAACUUCGAAGGUCUCCUCGAGCUUAAUGCUGAAGCGCCGAUCAUCGUCCAGGUGAGGCAUGUCGCACAGACCUCGAUCGUCGUGGCACCAUCCGCACUCCCCCGGGAGACUUUCGUCGUCCGAUGACGACAUAUCUUACGUUCAUAAUUCAAAACUACAUAGGAUGAGUGGUUCCUCUUCCAGAUUAGGGUUUAUCGAUUACGAGCAACUGACACUAGUAAUAACUAUGAGUUGAUAUCACACUUCUAUAUGUAUAACACAAGAGGCAGUUGAUCCUACUUAAUUAAGUACUAAGAUACCCCGGCCCAUGCAUUUGUCGCAAGUACCCCAUAUGUCCUAUUUUUAGCGAAGUCAUGCUAAAAUUCACGAAAAAUUUCAGCAUGAUCUUUGCUGAAAAUAGGACAUAUGGAGUACCCGAAUUUGCCGGAACAGAAGUUAAUUGACAUUCCGGCAAACUCAAGGGCCUCUCGGGGUACUUGCAAAAUCAUCACGACACGAUGGUCGGAGACAAAACCCAGCAAACUCCUUCCCUUCACUCGGGGUACAACAAUAUAUCUUCUAGCCAUAAAAAAUAAUACCAACUAGGAUCGGUAUGACCUUCGUUUUUCAUUUUCUGUAUGAUCAAUUAAAUCUUCUGCAAGCUUAUAUGAAAAGGUUCAGCAACUUGAAACUUAACUCUUGCUUGGUGUUCCAAAUCAUUUCAUUUAUAUUUUAAAUAACAGUAGGAGUUUUUUCAUAAUAGAAUUUACCCCAAAAACAAAUUCCUUUAAUGCCAUUUUCAAACUCUGAGUUGCCUCUGUUGCACUAAAACUAAUUCAAAUAAUUUUUAUAAAAUUGCAACAAAAUUUUUGGGAGACCCUAUAAUUCCUAUAAAUCAUUUUUGAACAAAGACCCAUCCUACUCUUUUGAAAUUUUUGAGAAAAACACCCACUUUUCCAUUCUGAUCCAUUUUCAGUUUACAACUACAACCCUAUUUCCCCUAGCUCCUAAAAAUCUACAAAAUUAUCCCAACACAAGAACAGUACCUACACUCCUUUUUCCCAAACAUCUCCUGAUCACAAGUUCUAAAUUUUCAAUAGGCCACAUGUAUUUGCUGAAUCAGCAUAAACCUUUCAAUACCGAAAAUGCAGCAUUUUCUUGGCACAACCAAGCUACUUCACGGUAAUUCAUAUUUUAAGAAUUCUCACAUUUCAUAUAUCGGCUUUUUCAAAACAAAAAAAGUAUCUAUGGGGGCUGCAGCUGCAUGUUGUGUAUCACUAUACCUUAUAUAUCACGAAUCUAAACUAGACAAACACGAAUCUAAACUGAACAUUUAAUAGGUUGCAAGAAUAUAUAAAAUCUGAACAUUACACAAUUCUGAACAGUACACUUCUCAAAUUCAUAGAAAUUUGACAGAGAGAGAGGGAGACAACAAGGAUUCAGAUUCAGAAAAGUGCAGCAGGAGGGAAGUGGAGAGGAGGAGCAGCAGCAGUUUCGAGGUUUCAGAGAAGAGCAGCGGCAAGACGUUGAGAGGAGGAGAAGCAGGAGUAAAGCAAGAGGGAGGAGCAGCAACAAGGCGAGGGCGAGCGCAGCCGUGGGUGGCAACACGCAAGUGCGUGUGUGCGCGGGCGCGGCCGACUGCAGUGACAGCGCAGCAGCGAGGCAAAGCAGGAGCUUGACGACGACGGCUACGGCGGCGAACCCGAUGGGGGAAGGAGGAAAUCGGUCAAGGGCCUCACCGAGGUGCUCGACAAUGAUCUCGGGAGGUCGGGGGUGGCCGGGGCAGAGCGAUGUGACGAGGUGGACGAGGGAGGCCGAGGUUGGGGAAGACGACGAUGGCGAUGAUACAGUGCAGCUCCGGUCGAUUGAGAACCCGUAGAUGAAGAAGCAGUCGACGGCGGUCCUCCUGGACGUCUCCGUGCGGCGCGGGGUGACUGGUGGCGGCGCAGUGGGUCGGGGCGGCGGCGUUGCAGCAGGUCGAGGGCUCGGGGGAUUGGGGAUUGGGAUCAAGGAGGAGGCGGCGCUCGGGGGGAAAGGGAUAGAGAGGGGAAGGUUAGCAAUGGCGCACCCCCGAGCGGUGCGCCAUAAGUAACCUUUUUUAGGUAGCAAUGACGCACCACCCAGAGAUGCACCAUAAGUAACUUUUUUUUGCAUAGCAAUGGCGCACCAGCCAGAGGUGCGCCAUAAGUAACUUAUUUUUUUUGGUUGCAUCUAAUAAUUUUUUAGAAAAUGCAUAUGAAUAUGAAACAGUAAUAAAUUUUUAUAAAAACAAUAAUUUUUUAAAAAAAAUAUCAUCAAAUUUGUUAUUUGAAAAUAUCAUCAAAAUUUUUAUUUGAAAAUAUAAUCAAAAUUGCUUUUUAUUNNNNNNNNNNNNNNNNNNNNNNNNNNNNNNNNNNNNNNNNNNNNNNNNNNNNNNNNNNNNNNNNNNNNNNNNNNNNNNNNNNNNNNNNNNNNNNNNNNNNNNNNNNNNNNNNNNNNNNNNNNNNNNNNNNNNNNNNNNNNNNNNNNNNNNNNNNNNNNNNNNNNNNNNNNNNNNNNNNNNNNNNNNNNNNNNNNNNNNNNNNNNNNNNNNNNNNNNNNNNNNNNNNNNNNNNNNNNNNNNNNNUUGCUUUUUAUUUUUAGUUGCAUUCAUUUGUGACGGUGGAGCGGGGGAGGAUGCGGGGGGUCGUCGACGGUGGUGGAGCGGGGGAGGGUGGUGUCAGCGGCGGCGGCGGCGGUGGAGCAGGGGAGGGUGCGGUGGGUCGUCGGCGGCGGUGGAGCGGGGGAGGGUGUGGUGGGUCGUCGGCUUGAGGUGCGCCAUUAGUAGUUUUGCAAAAAAAAAUAGUAGUGGCGCACUGCGUGGCAGGUGCGCAAUUACUAGUUAAACUAGUAAUGGCGCACUGUUCCCUGGUGCAUCAUUAGUAUUUUUGGAAAAAUAUAUAAAAAACUUUUUGUUACUAGUGGCGCACCGUGGGUCUGGUGCGCCAUUAGUGUCUACCACACUAAUGGCGCAUCAACUCAUGGUGCGCCAUUACUAUAUAGUAGUGGCGCACCACAUAUCUGGUGCGCCAUUAGUGGCCAUAUCAUCUAUAGCCCUUUUCCUAGUAGUGUGCAAGUCAAGGUGCGCCAAUAGCCUUGCAACUGGCAAGCUGUUUGGCAUCUACUUCUAGCCGAGUUUUCGUCAUGCGGCGGUAAGAAAUUAGAUGAAAUGUAACAACUAUUUUAUUUUUAGUGUUGGCAUUACUGCAUUGUGUCAUUUUGCUUUUUUACACAGAUCGUCCCAUGCAAUGUGAGGUUGAAAUUCAACAAGCUCACAGGAGACACUAUGAAAUUUGAGGCUCCGAGGGGGCGUACACUAUGGAGGUCGAGAAAGGACGCAAUAUGUCGCAGAUUGGAGGAGAUGGAUGGGCCCGUUUCCUCACCCGCAUGCGUCUUACUGGUGGUGAGUUGAUCAGCUUCUCCUUCAGAGCAGAAAGACCCAAGCUGGCUGUCAUUUAUCUCAACCUGGUGGAAGAUGAUGAAGAUGACGAAGAUGAUGAAGAUAAUGAGGACCCACUCGAUGAAGAUGAUGAGAACCCACUUCAUGAAGCCAUCGUAGCUCAAAGAAUGAGGCUGAGCGAGAAGGAGGUGUGCAACCUACGGGACAUAAUUCCGCCACAUGAUGACUUUGUCGGGGUGCCAUUCGUGACCCGCCUGACAAGUACCAUGGUUGAUCGGCAUGAAAUGGUAUGUUAUACUGACUGUAGUAAUUUGAAUAUAUAUAUAUAUAUAUAUAUAUAUAUAUAUAUAUAUAUAUNNNNNNNNNNNNNNNNNNNNNNNNNNNNNNNNNNNNNNNNNNNAUGCAAAUUAUCCGAUGAUAUGCUUAGUGAAUCCGAUGAUAUGCUUAGUGUAGAGUCCAAUGAUAUGCUUUGUGGAAUCUAGUCGAUGAUAUGCUUUAGUGUAGAGUACACUAUGGAGGUCGAGAAAGGACGCAAUAUGUCGCAGAUUGGAGGAGAUGGAUGGGCCCGUUUCCUCACCCGCAUGCGUCUUACUGGUGGUGAGUUGAUCAGCUUCUCCUUCAGAGCAGAAAGACCUAAGCUGGCUGUCAUUUAUCUCAACCUGGUGGAAGAUGAUGAAGAUGACGAAGAUGAUGAAGAUAAUGAGGACCCACUCGAUGAAGAUGAUGAGAACCCACUUCAUGAAGCCAUCGUAGCUCAAAGAAUGAGGCUGAGCGAGAAGGAGGUGUGCAACCUACGGGACAUAAUUCCGCCACAUGAUGACUUUGUCGGGGUGCCAUUCGUGACCCGCCUGACAAGUACCAUGGUUGAUCGGCAUGAAAUGGUAUGUUAUACUGACUGUAGUAAUUUGAAUAUAUAUAUAUAUAUAUAUAUAUAUAUAUAUAUAUAUAUAUAUAUAUAUAUAUAUAUAUAUAUAUGUUUUAUUGUUAUACUUACAAAUGCAAAUUAUCCGAUGAUAUGCUUAGUGAAUCCGAUGAUAUGCUUAGUGUAGAGUCCAAUGAUAUGCUUUGUGGAAUCUAGUCGAUGAUAUGCUUUACUGUAGAGUACACUAUGGAGGUCGAGAAAGGACGCAAUAUGUCGCAGAUUGGAGGAGAUGGAUGGGCCCGUUUCCUCACCCGCAUGCGUCUUACUGGUGGUGAGUUGAUCAGCUUCUCCUUCAGAGCAGAAAGACCCAAGCUGGUUGUCAUUUAUCUCAACCUGGUGGAAGAUGAUGAAGAUGACGAAGAUGAUGAAGAUAAUGAGGACCCACUCGAUGAAGAUGAUGAGAACCCACUUCAUGAAGCCAUCGUAGCUCAAAGAAUGAGGCUGAGCGAGAAGGAGGUGUGCAACCUACGGGACAUAAUUCCGCCACAUGAUGACUUUGUCGGGGUGCCAUUCGUGACCCGCCUGACAAGUACCAUGGUUGACCGGCAUGAAAUGGUAUGUUAUACUGACUGUAGUAAUUUGAAUAUAUAUAUAUAUAUAUAUAUAUAUAUAUAUAUAUAUAUAUAUAUGUUUUAUUGUUAUACUUACAAAUGCAAAUUAUCCGAUGAUAUGCUUAGUGAAUCCGAUGAUAUGCUUAGUGUAGAGUCCAAUGAUAUGCUUUGUGGAAUCUAGUCGAUGAUAUGCUUUAGUGUAGAGUCUGAUCACAUGCUUAUUAGUGUAGAAUCCAAGGAACUAUUAAUAGUGUAGAUAAUCCAUAUAUAUUUAUUAGUAGAAUUCAUGCUUAAUUAGUACAAAUGUGUAGUACUGUUUUUGGUAGUGUAGAAAUCUAUACUUAAUAGAAAUAUAUUUGCAAGAGUAUGUGUGAGGCUAUUUAUUAAUUGAUAUGUUUUUCUUAUUCAGAAAUUGCGAAAGAACCUAUCUGUGAGUUGUGGUAUUGUGCAUGAUGAAGAAGGCUCAGCUGGACUAUGCCUUACCGCAAGGGGCUCCGUCACCACCUGUACUUACCGCAUGGACACAGACGGUCGCACACACUUAAACUCGGUUGGGUGGAAGAGAUUUCUCGUUGGCAAGAAUCUUCGUGUUGGACAGGCCAUCCUAAUUACUAUCAGGAACACCCACCGCCCAGACUUCAGUAUGAUAAUCGUCGUCGAUAUCAUCUAGAACUACAUAUGUGUGUGUGGCUAUAUCAUCUAGAACUACAUAUGAUGAUCGUCGUCGAUAUCAUGUAGAACUAUAUAUGAUGAUCGUCGUCGAUAUCAUCUAGAACUAUAUAUGAUGAUCAUCAUCGAUAUCACCUUGUACGGUUUGAGGAUGUAUGUUGACUAUAUAUGAAAUUGUUAUUUAGUACUCCUUCCGUUCCAAAUUACUCGUCAUGGUUUUGAACUAAAACCACGACGAGUAAUUUGGAACGGAGGUAGUACUACCUGGUACCUAUAAUGCUUUAUGAAAUUGAUAUCUAAUAGUACCUAGUAUCUGGAAAUUGCAAUUUAUUAAAACUGAAACUGGGUAGGAAGCGGGGGAAAAUGGUGAAACACAUAGCAAUAGCGCGAGGCUAGGAAAGCGCUACAACUAACUAAUAGUAGCGUGUUCUGGAAAAGCAUUGCUGAUAUAGUCAAUAGUAGUAGCGCUGGUGCAAACCGGGCUACUACUAACAGUUAAUUGUAGCGCCUUAUUGGUAGCACGGCUGCCCGCGCUGCUGAUAGCCUCAAAACCCGCGCUACGUACUACUAGGGUUUUCCCUAGUAGUGAUGGAGCAGGUGCAGGCGCACUGCAACACCGGAGCAGCCUGCGUCGACUCCUAUGUCAGCGUUCUGGUAGGCACAAGAAGAGCAGAAUUACAACAUGUUACUCCUCGAGCAGCACCGGCUUGCAGAGGGCCAAAUCUUUGGUGAACACGCAAGCCAGGUGGCCGUGACCGCCAUGGCCACAGUGAACCAGAACUUUGUUGCGAAGCAGCGGCCGCUCUUCGAGGCCGAGUGCACUGCUCACAAAGCAGAGCUGGCUGUCGGUGUCACCGGACACGGACGCGUCCUANNNNNNNNNNNNNNNNNNNNNNNNNNNNNNNNNNNNNNNNNNNNNNNNNNNNNNNNNNNNNNNNNNNNNNNNNNNNNNNNNNNNNNNNNNNNNNNNNNNNNNNNNNNNNNNNNNNNNNNNNNNNNNNNNNNNNNNNNNNNNNNNNNNNNNNNNNNNNNNNNNNNNNNNNNNNNNNNNNNNNNNNNNNNNNNNNNNNNNNNNNNNNNNNNNNNNNNNNNNNNNNNNNNNNNNNNNNNNNNNNNNNNNNNNNNNNNNNNNNNNNNNNNNNNNNNNNNNNNNNNNNNNNNNNNNNNNNNNNNNNNNNNNNNNNNNNNNNNNNNNCAGAAAAAUUCCUACGCACACACAGGAUCAUGGUGAUGCAUAGCAACAAGAGGGGAGAGUGUGUCCACGUACCCUCGUAGACCGAAAGCGGAAGCGUUAGCACAACGCGGUUGAUGUAGUCGUACGUCUUCACGAUCCGACCGAUCCAAGUACCUAACGCACGGCACCUUCGAGUUCAGUACACGUUCAGCUCGAUGACGUCCCAUGAACUCUGAUAUAGUAGAGCUUCACAGGAGAGUUUCUUCAGCACGACGGCGUGAUGACGGUGAUGAUGAUGCUACCGAUGCAGGGCUUCGCCUAAGCACUGCUACGAUAUGAUCGAGGUGGAUUAUGGUGGAGGGGGGCACCACACACGGCUGGGAGAGAUCAACAGAUCAACUCCAUGUCCCCGUAUAUAAAGGAGCAAGGGGGGAGGCCGGCUGGCCCCUAUAGGUGCGCCAGGAGGAGUCCUCCUCCUAGUAAGAGUAGGACUCCCCUCUUUCCUACUCCUACUAGGAGGGGGAAAGGAAGGGGGAGAGGGAGAAGGAAAGGGGGGCGCCGUCCCCCUCUCCUAGUCCAAUUCGGACCAGAGGGGGAGGGGCGCGUGGCCUGCCCUAGGCCAGCCCUCUCUCUCUCCACUAAGGCCCAUAAGGCCCACUAGUUCUCCCGAUGGAGGGGGGUCCAGUAACCCUCCGGCACUCUGGUCUUCUCCGAAACUAACCGAAACACUUCCUGUGUCCAAAUAUAGUCGUCCAAUAUAUCGAUCUUUACGUCUCGACCAUUUUGAGACUCCUUGUCAUGUCCGUGAUCAUAUUCGGGACUCCGAACUACCUUCGGUACAUCAAAACACAAAAACUCAUAAUAUCGAUCGUCACUGAACUUUAAGCGUGCGGACCCUAUGGGUUCGAGAACUAUGUAGACAUGACCGAGACACGUCUCCAGUCAAUAACCAAUAGCGGAACCUGGAUGCUCAUAUUGGCUCCUACGUAUUCUACGAAGAUCUUUAUCGGUCGAAAUGCAUAACAAUAUACAUUUGUUCCCUUUGUCAUCAAUAUGUUACUUACCCGAGAUUCGAUCGUCGAUAUUUCAAUACCUAGUUCAAUCUCAUUACCGGCAAGUCUCUUUACUUGUUCAGUAAUGCAUCAUCCCGCAACUAACUCAUUAGUUAUAUUGCUUGCAAGGCUUAUAGUGAUGUGCAUUACCCAAGAGGGCCCAGAGAUACCUCUCCGACAAUCGGAGUGACAAAUCCUAAUCUCGAUCUAUGCCAACUCAACAAGUACCAUCGGAGACACCUGUAGAGCACCUUUAUAAUCACCCAGUUAUGUUGUG